GCCAGGAGAUCAAGAGAAGAAGGGGAAACCCUUUUUACUUCUAAAAUUCAGCAAUUGAAGGAAGAAAUUGAAGCUAAUCACCUGCAUGUUCACCCCAACCUAACCAUCUUAGCAUUCUUAACAUAAGGUAUGUUGAAAUUUGCAAUUUGAUGAUCAUGAAUGAAAUGGGGAUUAAAGAAGAAAGCUCAAGUCAUUCCGGAACGCAAACAAACCACAACAAAGGUAAAGGAACUUGUUAGCGGCGCUACUUGGAUCGAACACACUCAUGAUGCACGCUUCCGCGAAGAUCCUAGUUUGGUUUAAAUUUUUGGGUUAAACAUUUUUGUUAAAACGGGUCUUUUGUAUGUAAGUUAACCCGGUAGCGGUUAGAUGUUAACUUGUAGUUAAAGACGGGGUUAAUAACUUGUAAAACAUGUGUGGUAUGAACUCUUUUAUAACUAUUUUACUUAGUUAAAAUGAAGUUGAAUGCAGAAUUUUGCUUAUAAAAU
RNAcentral lists this long non-coding RNA (488 nucleotides) under Helianthus annuus (common sunflower). The record is from RNAcentral. Lineage: Eukaryota; Viridiplantae; Streptophyta; Magnoliopsida; Asterales; Asteraceae.